CUUUGACCUCCAAUCAAGCGGGACUACGCCCUGAACUUAAGCAUAUCAAU
RNAcentral lists this ribosomal RNA (50 nucleotides) under Stilbum vulgare. Its description in RNAcentral is "partial 28S ribosomal RNA". The record is from RNAcentral. Lineage: Eukaryota; Fungi; Basidiomycota; Agaricostilbomycetes; Agaricostilbales; Chionosphaeraceae.